AUUAGGAUCUGCUACACUCAAGCAGUUGGGCCCAUACCCCAAAAACGGUGACUGACACCUCCUAAUA
Molecule: transfer RNA, 67 nt
Filed under: Hydrosaurus amboinensis (sailfin lizard)
Lineage: Eukaryota; Metazoa; Chordata; Lepidosauria; Squamata; Agamidae
Description: tRNA-Met
Source: RNAcentral